UAUCUCUGUAGAGUCUGCAUAUCAAUAAGCGGAGGAAAAGAAACUAACAAGGAUUCCCUUAGUAACGGCGAGUGAAGCGGGAAGAGCUCAAAUUUGAAAUCUUCAAGGUUCUACCUUGACGAAUUGUAGUUUAAAGAAGUGUUUUCUGUUAGAUGAGUAGCAAAAGUUCCUUGGAAUGGGACAUCAUAGAGGGUGAGAAUCCCGUAUUUGGUUAUUCAUUCUAGCUUUGUGAUACACUUUCAAAGAGUCGGAUUGUUUGGGAAUGCAGUCCAAAAUGGGUGGUAAAUUUCAUCUAAAGCUAAAUAUUGGCGAGAGACCGAUAGCGAACAAGUACCGUGAGGGAAAGAUGAAAAGAACUUUGAAAAGAGAGUUAAACAGUACGUGAAAUUGUCAAAAGGGAAGCGUUUGACACCAGUGUUGUUUUUCCGAAAAUCAAUUACGAAUGGCUUGAUUUUGUGUUGUAUUGACCUUAUCAGCUUUCUGCACUUUUUUCGAGUCUUUUUUAAUGCACUUUUUCGGUUAACAAGUCAACAUCAAUUUCUUUUGUUGUAAAAGAGUAUUCGGAAGGUGGCUUUCUUUUCGGAGAAAGUGUUUAUAGCCCUAUACUUCUACAAUCGGAGAGAUUGAGGUCUGCAGCGUAGAUCCUUCGGGGUUAGAUACACUUGUGCUAAGUCGUAGCUUUUCAUAGACAACUUGUUGACUAUGUUUAGUCAUGCGGCUUACUCGCUUGUGCUAUUUUACCUACGCUUAGGAUGUUGACUGAUAUGUAGUCGUA
Molecule: ribosomal RNA, 775 nt
Filed under: uncultured Neocallimastigales
Lineage: Eukaryota; Fungi; Neocallimastigomycota; Neocallimastigomycetes; Neocallimastigales
Description: partial large subunit ribosomal RNA
Rfam family: Eukaryotic large subunit ribosomal RNA
Source: RNAcentral